This 253-nucleotide ribosomal RNA is filed under the name uncultured Eubacteriales bacterium. Its description in RNAcentral is "uncultured Clostridiales bacterium partial 16S ribosomal RNA". It matches the Rfam family "Bacterial small subunit ribosomal RNA", at positions 524 to 776 of the family's 1533-position model. Lineage: Bacteria; Bacillati; Bacillota; Clostridia; Eubacteriales. The record is from RNAcentral.
UACGUAGGGGGCAAGCGUUAUCCGGAUUUACUGGGUGUAAAGGGAGCGUAGACGGAAUUGCAAGUCUGAUGUGAAAAUCCGGGGCCCAACCCCGGAACUGCAUUGGAAACUGUAUUUCUAGAGUGUCGGAGAGGCAAGUGGAAUUCCUGGUGUAGCGGUGAAAUGCAUAGAUAUCACGCAGAACCCCGAUUGCGAAGGCAGCAUACCGGCGCCCUACUGACGCUGAGGCACGAAAGUGCGGGUAUCGAACAGG